Molecule: small nuclear RNA, 18 nt
Filed under: Arabidopsis thaliana (thale cress)
Lineage: Eukaryota; Viridiplantae; Streptophyta; Magnoliopsida; Brassicales; Brassicaceae
Description: snRNA_04587
Source: RNAcentral
UUGGCUCUGAGGGCUGGG